GUGAGUCAUCGAAUCUUUGAACGCACCUUGCGCCCUUUGGCUAUUCCUUGGGGCAUGCCUGUUUGAGUAUCAUGAACACCUCAACUCUCACGGUUCGCCGUGAUGGGCUUGGACUCUGGGGGUUUGCUGGCUCGUGUGGUCGGCUCCCCUCAAAUACAUCAGCUCGCCAGCGUUCUGGUGGCAUCACGGGUGUGAUAACUAUCUACGCUCGCGCUUGCCUGCCGGGUAACCUUUGGCGACAAAGGUUCGUUGGGGCUUACAAACGUCUCUCCUUAGCGAAGACAGCCUUUGAACGUUCGAUCUCAAAUCAGGUAGGACUACCCGCUGAACUUAAGCAUAUCAAUAAGCGGAGGA
This 354-nucleotide unclassified non-coding RNA is filed under the name Thelephoraceae sp. RNAcentral describes it as "partial contains 5.8S ribosomal RNA, internal transcribed spacer 2, and large subunit ribosomal RNA". The stretch from base 298 to 354 matches the Rfam family "Eukaryotic large subunit ribosomal RNA", at positions 1 to 57 of the family's 3401-position model. The record is from RNAcentral. Lineage: Eukaryota; Fungi; Basidiomycota; Agaricomycetes; Thelephorales; Thelephoraceae.